RNAcentral lists this unclassified non-coding RNA (2323 nucleotides) under Cimex lectularius (bed bug). Its description in RNAcentral is "mAU2 chromatid cohesion factor homolog, transcript variant X2". Lineage: Eukaryota; Metazoa; Arthropoda; Insecta; Hemiptera; Cimicidae. The record is from RNAcentral.
GCGGACCAGUGUGUAAAACUGGAAUUUCUGUCAUUCCAGACUUCGACCCGACUCAACCGGACAGAAAUGGCGUCCUCCCAGGAUGCUUGGUAUUUAUCGUUGUUGGGUCUCGCCGAACACUUCCGCACCUCGAAUCCGCCCGACAUCAAAAAGUGCAUUCAGUGCCUCCACGCCGUGUUCACGUUCAAGCCGCCGAGCAGGGUCGAAGCCAGGACCCAUCUGCAACUCGGCAACAUUCUACUUUCCCACACGAAAAACGUCGAUUUGGCGAGAAACUACCUCGAACAAGCCUGGCUACUUUCGCAGAAUAUUAACGCUUUUGACGAUGUGCGGUUCGAAGCGGCAAGUGUCCUUGCGAGUGUUUACGAAGAGCAAAAUCAGAAAAUCUUAUCUAAGUCAAUUCUCAGGCGAGCCAUCGAGUUAUCACAGCACAGCGUCUAUUGGCACUGCAGGCUAUUAUUUCAGUUAGCGCAAAUCCAUGCAUCGGAAAGAGAUUACGAAUUGGCCUGCAGUUUGUUAAGCGUAGGCGUCGAUUACGCUCAUAUUUCAUCAGCUCAUUAUACCCGAGUUUUAUUUCUACUCAGCCGUUGUAUGUUGAUGCUGAUUGAUAAAAAAUUUUCUGACGUGCUUCCAUUACUCAAUCAAGCUGGGCAUUUAUUGGAAAACUGGCAAGGGAAUCAAUAUCAGAAGGAAUACUUAAAGGUCUUCUUCCUAGUCCUCCAGGUUUGUCACUAUUUAAUGGCAGGCCAGGUGAAAAGUGUGAAACCCUGUCUUAAACAACUACAACAGAGUAUACAAACUAUAAUGCAACCAUCAUGGCCCUCUGAUGAAGUUGUUAGUGGACCAAAUGUAGGUGACAUGUUUAUUUGGAUGCCAAAGGAACAUUUGUAUGUUCUUGUUUACCUUGUAUCAGUGAUGCACAGUAUGCAAGCAGGUUAUAUGGACAAAGCACAGAAAUACACCGACAAAGCGUUAAUGCAAAUUGAAAAGCUCAAAAUUGUAGAUAAUAGUGGGAUCCUCUGUGCCCUUCAAUUGAUGCUUGUCGAACAUAUGGUUAUGUGCAGGCUUGUUAUGGGCAAUAAAUGUAUCGCCCUUUCUCAGAUGGCCAACGCUUGCUCCCUGUGCAGUGCGAACCCUCAACUGAUGAGAAACCACAGGCCUCAGCUGCAUGUCCUCCUCGGCCUUUAUGCCAUGUCAAUGAAUUGCAUGCAAGCCGCUGAACAACAGUUCAACGCAGCAAUAGUAUAUUCUCAAGAGAGGGAUUUGUGGACGUUUGCAAAUCUAAAUCUUGGUAUAGUUUAUUUGAGAGGGAAACGUGAAGCAGAGUUCAAUGCUCUUUUGGAUCGGAUCAAUCCAGAAAAUCUUCCUUCUCAUUCACAUAGUUUACGAGCCGCAGCGUACUAUGUUCUAGGUUUACAAUCGUUCUUCCAGUCUAGACACAAUGAAGCCAAACGUUUUUUGAGGGAGACAUUGAAAAUGGCAAAUGCUGAAGAUUCUAAUAGGUUAACGUCAUGUUCAUUGGUCCUUCUUGGCCAUAUUUUCCUUUCGUUAGGGAACAGUAGAGAAAGUAUGAAUAUGGUGACCCCUGCAAUGCAACUGGCUAGUAAAAUCCCAGAUGUUCAUGUACAGCUCUGGGCGUCGGCGAUUUUAAGAGAUCUCUACAGAAUGUGCGGAGAUCCGAGGGAAAACGAAGCAUUCCAGAUGCAUUGUAACUUUUCUCAAACUCUUCUUAAGGACCAUUUUCAGUCGAGUCAAAUGCCCGAACACAAUCUUAUAUAUUGGACUGAAGGAGAUAUUCCUGCAUUACCACCACCAUCGACGUCAGCACCACUGAUGUAAUAUUGGCUGUACAUAGUAAAAGAAGCUAUUAUAUUUCUAUUUACAACCUACUUAAAUGGUCGCCUAAACAGUGCAAACGAUUAGGGAUAGGGGCGAAGAAGAAGAAAAAAUGGGAAACAACUCUCCAUAUCGAAGGAAACCAUAUUUAAUAUUUUUUAUAACAUAUAGAUAUAUAACAUACGUAAGUUAACGAUAUGAAUCUAGGUGUGAAAAAAUUCACAUUUGUUACAUCAUAUUAUAUUUUAUUUUUAUAUUAAAAAUGUACAAAUUUAUUUAUGAAGCGGCAAGAAAAAAUGUAAAAUAUGAGGUAAUUUUGUAUUUAAUAAGAAAAAGAAGAAAAAGUGUAAAUUGUUAUAUGAGAUUAUUUUUAGAAAAAACUUGUUACGUCUGGAAGAGCUUUUAACUUAGUUAAUGUUCUUACACGAAUGUUAAGAUAAUAACUGUAAUUCCAUUAAUGUCACUGAACAUUUAAAAAAAAAAAAAA